GCCCCUGUAGCGCAACGGAUAGCGCAUCAGCCUCCGAAGCUGGUGGUACAGGUUCGAUUCCUGUCAGGGGCA
This 72-nucleotide transfer RNA is filed under the name Candidatus Omnitrophota bacterium. RNAcentral's name for it is "tRNA-Arg". It matches the Rfam family "tRNA". From Rfam's summary of the family: Transfer RNA (tRNA) molecules are approximately 80 nucleotides in length. Their secondary structure includes four short double-helical elements and three loops (D, anti-codon, and T loops). Lineage: Bacteria; Pseudomonadati; Candidatus Omnitrophota. The record is from RNAcentral.